Non-coding RNA from Marmota monax (woodchuck), 783 nucleotides. The record is from the annotation of a RefSeq genome assembly. Lineage: Eukaryota; Metazoa; Chordata; Mammalia; Rodentia; Sciuridae.
AGACCUGUGGGCAUGGACUUCCACCCCACACCCUGACCUGCCCUGCUCAGCACAGCCAGCUGCCCCUGCUACACAAAAUCACCACAGAGGGGAAAGGACUGCAUCAACUGAGCAUACCCAGGGGCUGCAGGGGGCCUACUGAACCCACAGGCACACUGGCAUCAGAACGGUGACAUGACUGAUGUCACCAAAAACCCUCCAAACAGAGAAAAGGGAGGAGCCAAGUGCCUGCUCUCAGCCCAGGAGACCAGCACCCUGAGUGCAAAGAUGUUUAGACCUGUCCUUCCUGACCUUGCCUGGGGACCCAGGCUCCUCUCCUACAUCGUCCUUUGUCUCCUGGGAGCAGGACUCAAAGCCGCAAGAUUCUGCAUUGGUCCUAAAAUGGGCACCAAGCUUUUCCUCUGUGUGGCCUGCUGUCUCCUGUGGGCAGGACACUUGGAGGCUGAAAUCACCCAGAGCCCAAGACACAUCAUCACAGAGACAGGAGAAAAGGUGACUUUGCGCUGCCACCAGACCUACAACUAUGAAUACAUGUACUGGUAUCGCCAAGACCCAGGGCAAGGGCUGCAGCUGAUCCAUUACUCAUAUGGUGUUGGCAACACUGCCAAAGGAGACGUGUCUGACGGGUACAGUGUCUCCAGAUCAAACAAAACAGACUUCCCCCUCACUCUGGAGUCGGCCACCCGCUCCCAGACAGCUGUGUACUUCUGUGCCACCAGUGACAACACAGUGCUACAGGGUCACCUCCUCUCUGCACAUAAAGUAUAAAUAGGAAGACCAGGA